GCCGUCGCUCCUGGCCGCGAGGUCUGGCGUCGGAGUCUGGCUGCUUAAUGAUUGUCUGACACGGUGCCGGCCGUGCUGACGCCAGGUGGUUGCGAGGACAACAAGGCCGUGUCCUUGGGGACCCGACUCACUUCUGUUCGCCCUGCUCUCGGGUGGCCAGCGUUCUAAUGGGUGUUCGUGCAUAGUGUGGGGUUCCCGUAGUCCGGACAAGCCAGACAACUUUGCUUUAAUUUACCCCGUUUCAGGAAUCAGGGCAUCAGAUCCUGACAUUGUUUUCUCCUCCGUUUGUUCCCAGGUCCUCGCUUAACUUUGUGCCUUUCCUGUAAGCUGGAUAGCAGUACUACUUACUGAAUGCGGCUUUAAGGGAAUGAAUGAGAUGGUUCACUAAAUGUAGCCGACAAAUAUUGGGCACUUGUCAUAGAAAAAAAAAAAGAUAAAUCAGGUGGAGAGGGGUAAGGUAGGGUGCUAUUCUAUACAGGAUGGUCGUUUGGUCUCGCGGGCCUCUGAGGAGGGUACUGAAGGAAGUGAGGAACCAUUCAUGCUUUAUGGAGUUGAAAUCACCGGCUACAAACUUUGUCCUUAUCAGUACAAUACAGAAUAUGUUCAUUGAGGUGGUUCUGUAGCUGCACCAUUAAUUCUAUUAAAUGGAAUUUAAUUAAAUUCCAUUAAUUAAAUUACCUUCAGCUAUA
Molecule: long non-coding RNA, 689 nt
Organism: Canis lupus familiaris (dog)
Lineage: Eukaryota; Metazoa; Chordata; Mammalia; Carnivora; Canidae
Exons: 2
Source: RefSeq, a predicted model, not a curated record